Molecule: ribosomal RNA, 315 nt
Filed under: uncultured eukaryote
Lineage: Eukaryota
Description: partial 18S ribosomal RNA
Rfam family: Eukaryotic small subunit ribosomal RNA
Source: RNAcentral
CCCUUAGAUGUUCUGGGCUGCACGCGCGCUACACUGACGCACGCAACAGGUGCCUGCUCCGAGAGGACUGGGUAAUCAUUUGAGUGUGCGUCGUGAUGGGGAUAGAAUAUUGUAAUUAUUACUCUUCAACGAGGAAUUCCUAGUAAGCGCCAGUCAGCAGCUUGCGCUGAUUACGUCCCUGCCCUUUGUACACACCGCCCGUCGCUCCUACCGAUGGGUGAUCCGGUGAAUGAUUUGGACUUCAGCGGCUCCCCUGGGGUGCGCCGGAGAAAGUUUUGUGAACCUUAUCACUUGGAGGAAGGAGAAGUCGUAACA